Molecule: long non-coding RNA, 3743 nt
Organism: Numida meleagris (helmeted guineafowl)
Lineage: Eukaryota; Metazoa; Chordata; Aves; Galliformes; Numididae
Exons: 3
Source: RefSeq, a predicted model, not a curated record
AUGCAAUUUAGAUCUUAGGGGCUCUUAACUUUUGAAAUGUUUCUUUCUUGCCUCCAGUAAAUACAGGUUUGAAAGCUUUUUAUUUAGACCAAGAUCUGGGAUGAGAGGAAGGCUGUGGAUGUAGUUUAUCUAGACUUCAGUGAAGCUUUGACUCUGUAUCCCACUGUAUUCUCCUGCAGAAGCUGGCAGUCCAUGGCUUAUGCAGAUGUACUCUUUACUAAGUAAAAAUCUGGCUGGACACCCAGGCCCAGAGAGUAGUGGAGUUUAAUCCAGCUGACAAGUGAUCACUAGUUGUGUUCCCCAGGGGUCAGUAUUGGGGCAGUAAUGUUCAUUAUCUUUAUAGAUUAUGUAGAUGAGGAGUAAUUAUGUAUGUAGUUAUGUAAUUGAGUGUACCUUCAGUAAGCUCGCAGAUGAUGUCAAGCUGACAGGAACUGUUCAUCUGCCUGAGGGUAGCAAGGUCCUACACAAGGAUCUGAAUAGGUGCUGAGUCCAAUUGUAUGAGCUUUAACAAGACCAAGUGCCAGGUCCAGCAUAUUGGUCAGAACAACACCAUGCAAAGCUGUAGGCUUGGGGCAGAAUGACUGGAAAGCUGUGUGGAGAAAGGAUCUGAGGGUGCUGGGUGACACUCAGCUGAACAUGAGCCAGCAGUGUGCCCAGGCGACCAAGGGCUGUAUCAGACCUACUGUAGUCAGCAGGAUCAGGGAUGUGAUCAUCCCCAUGUACUGAGCUCUGGUGAGGCCACACCUCAAGUACAGUGUUCAGUUUUGGGCCUCUCGUUAGAAGUAAGACACUAAGGCCCUGAAGUAUGUCCAAAGAAGGGCAGUGAAGCUGGUGAAGGAUUUGGAGCACAAAUAUUAUGGGGAGCAGCUGAGAGAACAGGCAUUGUUUAGUCUGGACACGAGAAGGCUCAGGGGAGGCCUUACUGAUCUCUAAAACUACCUUAAAGGAGGUUGUGGUGAGGUGGGAGUCAGCCUCUGCUCUGUUUCCAUUUUCCAUUCAGUGGGAAAGAUAAAACUGUUUACACAUCAUGAGACAUCCCUUUUCCCUUUCUGCUUGUCUCUACAGCGAGUGUGCUCCCUAGUCAUCUUGCUGUCAGCAUUAGAAGCAUCUAAACAAGGAGAGAAUAUCACAGAAAACUGCAGGAGACAUUGUGCUCACAGGCCCUGAUCCUACAAGGUGACGUCAGCCACGCAGACGUCCACUGGAAAAGUGGCACAGCAAACUGCAAGAUAUCUAUAUCUGUGGAGCCUUACUGGAUAUGGAAUUAUAUUCUAUUUUAAUAGCACAGAAGCAGUUGCUACUGUUUGAGAACAUUCCUGAAAGAAUGUGGUGAAACUAAGCUAUUAGAAGGAUUGGAAGGACUGUAUGACCACAGCUUUAUGGAUCCAUUUGGAGGCAGGGUUACAAGAAGGCAAGGAGAUCAUUUACGUCAAAAAUGCAGUUAAGUAUAGACCUGAUGCACAGCCUGUUACUACUUGGAAACUGUAAGAAUGAUACAGAAGCUUUCAGAUUUCUUUUACAGCAGCUGGUAAGCAACCCCAAUACUGUUGUCAUUUUACAACAUGAAUUUGUGAAUCUUUGUAAAUUUUCUUCUAUGAAUAUUACUCCUUCACCUUUUACUGUUUUAUUCAUUUUAAACUUUUAUCCCCAUUUUUCCACUCUGUCUGGCUUGUCUGACUCUAGUUUCAUUUACCCUAUUCUCCAUUACUCCUCUGGCCUCUUUUCAUGUCUUUUUUUUUUCUUGGUUGUAUUUUUCUCUUCCUGGAGAUACUCCCAGACCACUUUAGAAAUGUAGGUUGCAUUUUUUAUGUCAUUCUUAGAGAAGGAAAAAGAAAUUACAACCUUAGUGCUCUGAGCUAUAUAUGGAAAUCCUCCUACAUGUCUCCACAGCAAUGCUCUUUCAUGAUUCUGAGGCAGGAAAAAGUGCAAACUUUAGCAAGGUAUGUGUCUGAUGAUUAGAAACAGUUGCUUCUCUGAUUAUAGAGCAGGUGUUAUUCUAGCCAUCUAGUGGGAGCAUAUUUCCAAAGUGUCACUUAAAAAUAAAUGAAUACAGUGACUAUGGGAUUUAAGAUGUAUUUAUUCCCACAGCUUUUCUUUGUUUACACGAUACUGUCUCCUAUGAAUCCCAUAAUAAGAUGCUGCAAUCCCUACAUUUACUAUAGGAAAUGUAAGUUACUAUUUCAGUUGCUGAGCCUAAAGGAAUGAAAUUUAGGGCAGUCCUAAAGCAGAUUCCUUCUAUUUCAGGCAUCUUUCUGAAUAGAAAUAGCUGGUGGUCAGAGAUUGGGUUUAUACGUGAUUUUGUCAGGUCUUACUGUAUUUCUGCAAUAUAUGCUCCAUACACGGAAACAGCAGUCCUACAUAUGUUAAUGCAACUCUUUUAAAACCAAAUAUUUAACAUUAUGUUGUUACUCUUUCCAAAAGGGCAUAAUUAUGUGUUAUGUAUAAGGUUGUUACAUGGCUUACUGAAUUUUUCAAAACAUACUGAAAAUUGUUUUAUGAACUACACAAUGCAAAACAUUUUUCCUGUUCUCUUCUUUAAUUGCUAAACCCAUUCACAUCAUUGCUAAACCCACUCAUAUAAAGACAAGAUCUUUGUUUCUAACAGGUCGCCUGUUCCAGCUACUUAUUUGACAAAUAAAGUGGUAAUUUCUCAUUUCUGAUCAGGCUGUUAUUUCUCAGUAAAAAAUUCUAAUUCCUUCCAAAUAAGAACGACUUCAAAUAAAAUAACCAAAAGCAGAAGCCAAACAAUUUUAGAAAUAGAUUCCAUGUCUUAAUGCAAAUGUCCCAAUUAAGUAUAACUUUUCAAUGAAAGAUGGAUUUGGAUUUGUGUGUGUGUGUGUUUUUGUGUGUGUGUGUGUGUGUGUGGAGUAAAUUGUAUCUCAAUGGUUUUCUGUAUGCAUAUUGGAUUAAUAACAAAAUAAUUUGGCUUCUCAGCAUUCAUGCUGAAAGGAGAAGUAUAUCAGAAAUUUUGUUUACUGCACACUUUGCACAUUGAGAAAUUCAGAAUCUAAAACUGUUUCCCAAUGUAGACAUAGAAUUCAUUUCUUUAGGGUACACAUUCCAAAUUUUCCUUGAAAAUGCAAACUGUUGGUAGAGUUGGAGCUCGUGAACUUUAGCAUAAUUGUUGCAUGACUAAGAAAUGAAAAUGUACUUUAAUUUGCCUCCUUGUCCUGGUGUGUCUCAACUAAUCUGACGGGAAUUAUUUUCCCACCACAAUAUAUAGACAAGUCCAGGAAAGAAAAAAAAUUAUUGUAAAGCCAAUGACAUAUUCAUGUUAAAUAUACAAGUCGAUCUUACAGCAAGAUUGGAACACAUCUGUGCCUCUGAGGUGAGCAAUAUAAUUUAGAUAAGGGUAAAAGUCCAUCUUAUUUACCAUCUCAUUGGAUCUCUUUUCUUAUUCCCAGCUACAGAAUUGCUCAGUUUGCUUGCACACUGAAGAAAAACAUGAGCCAGUUAACUACACGAAUUAGUGAAUCCCAUUUUAGACUCCACUAUCUAUAUUGACUUGAUCUCUCCUGGAUUAAAAAAAAAAAAUGUUGAGAAACACUUUGAUUGACAUAUAUAUUGUUCAUGGAAACUCACUGAUUUUCUUGUUCAGUUCUGGUACUAGAGUAGAAAUUUGGCUUGCCAAUCAAAUACCUUUUGAAACACUAGUGAAGAUGUAGGUAGCUGUUAUGAACAAAGUGGUUGUAGGAAGCAUUAGAAAAUUCCACACUACAUUCAUGACCACAGCGACAGCUGAA